UGGGCCUACGGGAGGCAGCAGUGGGGGAUAUUGCACAAUGGGGGAAACCCUGAUGCAGCGACGCCGCGUGGGUGAAGAAGCGCCUCGGCGCGUAAAGCCCUGUCAGCAGGGAAGAAAAUGACGGUACCUGAAGAAGAAGCCCCGGCUAGCUACGUGCCAGCAGCCGCGGUAAUACGUAGGGGGCAAGCGUUAUCCGGAUUUAUUGGGUGUAAAGGGCGUGUAGGCGGGAGCGCAAGUCGGAUGUGAAAAAUCAGGGCUCAACCCUGAGGCUGCAUUUGAAACUGUGUUUCUUGAGUGCUGGAGAG
This 305-nucleotide ribosomal RNA is filed under the name uncultured bacterium. Its description in RNAcentral is "bacterial SSU rRNA". It matches the Rfam family "Bacterial small subunit ribosomal RNA", at positions 334 to 656 of the family's 1533-position model. The record is from RNAcentral.